RNAcentral lists this long non-coding RNA (1061 nucleotides) under Equus caballus (horse). Its description in RNAcentral is "lncRNA (ENSECAG00000047312.1)". The record is from RNAcentral. Lineage: Eukaryota; Metazoa; Chordata; Mammalia; Perissodactyla; Equidae.
AGAGACAUGAUAGUUUAUUUCUAUGCCUUUCUUGGCUAAAAUUGCAUGCCCUGCCAUAUUUCACAGACAUUGGUUGGCAACUUGGGACUUUGAGAGCAGAGGAGAAAGUUCAGUGUGUGUACCAAGUGUGGCUGAUCCAAAGAGGAUGGCAGCAAGCACGGCCUGGCUUUCACAUUAUACUGAAAAGAAUCGUAGCAUUAGACCAAACCAGCGGGACCAAGACAAACGAGAGGGCCAAGUCCCUUGAAAGCUAUUAAAGAUGAGAGUCAUGAACAAGCAAGCUCCUUUCAAUAGUGACUUGUGUUGUUUCCCCGGCCUAGUAGCCUCAGCACUUUGAAACCUCAAACCUCCUGAGCUGUUUACUUGACUUCAAGUGGCUGUGAAAAGGAGGCACCCUGUGCAAACGCCUGCAGGGGCGCCAUCCUGGGCACAGAGAAGAGCUGGCGGUGGCGGGGCCCGAAGGCGGAGUCCUCCCGCAGAUGACCGACCAACAAGCCUACUCUGUGGGUCUCAUGUGUAAUGACAUGGCAGGUCCCGUGGAGACAGUGUUUUGAUGCAGGGUAGGAAAUCAGAUAAGGAGUCUGAGGUUCAGACACGGCGGCAAAUUAUUCAUCAAAAUAUCCUACAAGUCAUACCCCGGUGGGAUUUCUGCCUAGCAGUCAUUAAUUGGAAAUGAACUAGUAUUUAACACGAAGUGUUUCUAAAAGGGUUAUAACAAUAUCGCCCUGUGGACAGUAUAAAACAGAAGCAAAAUGCACAGAACAUAAAGGUUGCCCUUAAUUCAACCAUUAGCGCUAAAGGCAAUAGUGAGGGUGAUUGCAUAUACCAUGUUUAUUUCAAGUGCUUUGUUGACAGUGACCAAUAAAAGGCCAACAUGGGUGAGAAUCACAUUAGUUUUCCAGAUGUACUCUCACAAGUAUGGAUUUGGAACAGCCAUUUGAGAGAUUAAAGCUCAGUGUUUUCCUCAAUCUGUAGAUUAGCAAAAACCUACAGUUCAGCAUCAGGGUUAAGAGAGAAAGGAGUUAAUUUACAUGGCUAUUCAAGUGCCUCCCACUUCCAAG